This 27-nucleotide non-coding RNA is filed under the name Mus musculus (house mouse). Lineage: Eukaryota; Metazoa; Chordata; Mammalia; Rodentia; Muridae. The record is from RNAcentral.
UGGAUGUGCUGGUGCCAUGACCUGUCC